GAGCCAUUAGCUCAGUUGGUAGAGCAUCUGACUUUUAAUCAGAGGGUCGAAGGUUCGAGUCCUUCAUGCUCA
This 72-nucleotide transfer RNA is filed under the name Priestia megaterium. Its description in RNAcentral is "Bacillus megaterium tRNA-Lys". It matches the Rfam family "tRNA". From Rfam's summary of the family: Transfer RNA (tRNA) molecules are approximately 80 nucleotides in length. Their secondary structure includes four short double-helical elements and three loops (D, anti-codon, and T loops). Further hydrogen bonds mediate the characteristic L-shaped molecular structure. tRNAs have two regions of fundamental functional importance: the anti-codon, which is responsible for specific mRNA codon recognition, and the 3' end, to which the tRNAs corresponding amino acid is attached (by aminoacyl-tRNA synthetases). tRNAs cope with the degeneracy of the genetic code in two manners: having more than one tRNA (with a specific anti-codon) for a particular amino acid; and 'wobble' base-pairing, i.e. permitting non-standard base-pairing at the 3rd anti-codon position. The record is from RNAcentral. Lineage: Bacteria; Bacillati; Bacillota; Bacilli; Caryophanales; Bacillaceae.